AUAUACGACCGUACCGCAAACCGACACUGGUGCGCGAGAUGAGUAUUCUAAGGCGCUUGAGAGAACUCAGGAGAAGGAACUCGGCAAAUUGACACCGUAACUUCGGAAGAAGGUGUGCCCUAUUAGUGUGUAGUGAACAACGAAGCAUGAAUGGGUUGCAAAAAAUCGGUGGCUGCGACUGUUUAUUAAAAACACAGCACUCUGCAAACACGAAAGUGGACGUAUAGGGUGUGACGCCUGCCCGGUGCUGGAAGAUUAAAUAAUGGGGUGCAAGCUCUUGAUUGAAGUCCCAGUAAACGGCGGCCGUAACUAUAACGGUCCUAAGGUAGCGAAAUUCCUUGUCGGGUAAGUUCCGACCUGCACGAAUGGCGUAACGAUGGCCACACUGUCUCCUCCUGAGACUCAGCGAAGUUGAAAUGUUUGUGAUGAUGCAAUCUCCCCGCGGAAAGACGGAAAGACCCCAUGAACCUUUACUGUAGCUUUGUAUUGGACUUUGAACAGAUCUGUGUAGGAUAGGUGGGAGGCUUUGAAGCAGGGUCGCUAGAUCUUGUGGAGCCAACGUUGAAAUACCACCCUGGUGUGUUUGAGGUUCUAACCUAGGUCCAUUAUCUGGAUCGGGGACAGUGCAUGGUAGGCAGUUUGACUGGGGCGGUCUCCUCCCAAAGCGUAGCGGAGGAGUUCGAAGGUACGCUAGUUACGGUCGGACAUCGUGACGAUAGUGCAAUGGCAUAAGCGUGCUUAACUGCGAGACUGACAAGUCGAGCAGAUGCGAAAGCAGGACAUAGUGAUCCGGUGGUUCUGUAUGGAAGGGCCAUCGCUCAACGGAUAAAAGGUACUCUGGGGAUAACAGGCUGAUACCGCCCAAGAGUUCAUAUCGACGGCGGUGUUUGGCACCUCGAUGUCGGCUCAUCUCAUCCUGGGGCUGUAGCCGGUCCCAAGGGUAUGGCUGUUCGCCAUUUAAAGAGGUACGUGAGCUGGGUUUAAAACGUCGUGAGACAGUUUGGUCCCUAUCUUCCGUGGGCGCUGCAGAUUUGAGGAAGCCUGCUCCUAGUACGAGAGGACCGGAGUGGACACACCUCUGGUGUAUCGGUUGUCACGCCAGUGGCAUUGCCGAGUAGCUAAGUGUGGAAGAGAUAACCGCUGAAAGCAUCUAAGCGGGAAACUCGUUUCAAGAUGAGAUCUGCCGGGGCCUUGAGCCCCCUAAAGAGUCGUUCAAGACCAGGACGUUGAUAGGUCAGGUGUGGAAGUGAAA
Molecule: ribosomal RNA, 1252 nt
Filed under: metagenome
Description: bacterial LSU rRNA
Rfam family: Bacterial large subunit ribosomal RNA
Source: RNAcentral